GCUGCACUCAGAGCGGAAGCCUUGAUUUCUGUCAACGAACUCACACAAAAGGCAAACCGUAUAAAUAUCAGGAAAGUAGAUACAGGUUCAGUCCUAGUGGAAGUUCUAAAUCAACAGACUCAUGAACAGGAAGAACUUUAGGAAUUGAAACCCUACAAACCAUCAACAAACUCUUAAGAGGAGAAGCAGUAGAAAUGAAAAGAUUGCAAAAAAGUUCUUUAUUUACAAUGGAGUGUUUAAGGAACAUCCAGGGACUUUCACAUUGGAGAACCCAUUUAGAUGUAUGGAGAAUGGGACAUUUUCCUUUCAGUGUCCACUCUUUCUUCACAGCAAUGAACUCAUCAGGAAAUCAGUCUUAAACACAUGACGUUGUAUUUUGAAGUGCUUGUGUAUAUAUGUAAACUGAACAGCAACGAAAUUUUGAAGGCAUGUCAAACAAUGUGAGUAUAAUCUAAGAGGUAAAGUACCUUUGAGAGAUAGGAUGAAUCUGGUUUGCUGGUGGUGAGUGAGGAUUAGGGCUGGGCGAUAUAUUAAUAUCUUGUCCAAUACCGGUUUCUAGACCACAUCGUUGAUAACAUUUGAAGAACAACUGAUAUGGCAUACACCGUGAAUCACAGUGUGUGUUUCUGGGAUGUGCCUGCAAGCAGCGGCAGAAAGCUUUUCUCCGUGAAGUCCCUGCAGAUGCUGAGUUGCUGACUUCCCUCCCAGGCAACAGGAAGUGAAAACACACACAUCCAUUGUCAAGGGAGAACGUCUAACUCCGGGAGGCAAGCGGCAAGAUUGUUCUCCAUGCCUCAUUUGGUGCAGCAGGAAACGACUCUGGUGUAUCUGGAGAGUCAGGGUUUGAAUAUCGAUUGUGGGAAUUAUGCAAGGAUUUAUUGGGUCCAGUCCACAGCUCAGCUGGAAGUCAGUGGGAAGCAACUGUUGUGGGCUUACGCAAGCGAGAGCUCCUCAAGGAACUGCUUCCCGUCAUCGGUCAGAACCUUCAUUUGCAACGGCUUUUCACCGAAUACCAAGAGCAGCUAGAUAUCUUGAGGACAAGUAGCGCCUCUGCAGAUCUUUCUCUGGCCUAAGAAAAAAAGAAACCAAUUGCCGAAAAGCAUUAAUAACAGGUGGAAACGGAAGGGGCCAUAGUCAGAACGGAAUACUCCUGGGAGAGAUGACGAAGAAGAAACCAGGCCCCGGGGUGUUUUACAU
RNAcentral lists this long non-coding RNA (1197 nucleotides) under Podarcis muralis (Common wall lizard). Its description in RNAcentral is "lncRNA (ENSPMRG00000019549.1)". The record is from RNAcentral. Lineage: Eukaryota; Metazoa; Chordata; Lepidosauria; Squamata; Lacertidae.